UGAUCAACUAUGGGAGACCCAAAGACCACUCAGUCCUUUUUCCGAUGAAUGGCUGUGUAUGUCACACUAGCAACAAACAGAACCGCAAGAGCUCCUGUGACAAUGCUGAGCCCGAUCACUGCGCCUUGCAGAGCAGAUGCCGUCUGUACCUCCCUCCUGUUAAGAAACCAGAGGGUUUUUAAUUGCCUGAUUAUUAAGAGGCUCUUCUGGCUGCUCCUGGUUUCCUGGGAAGUUUCCCAUCUAGCCGCUAGGUAUCUCUCUCUGCCACCCAGGCCAGAGUUCAGCUGAUGCAGGGCAGGGGAGCCCCCAAGUGGAGCCUAGUGUGUCCGGAACUGGUGGGUUCUUGGUCUCACUGACUUCAAGAAUGAAGCCGUGGACCCUCGCGGAAGUCAGGGACCCCAAAUGGAGGGACUGGCUGGAGCCGCGGCAGAGCAACAUAAAUUGUGAAGAUUUCAUGAACAUUUAUCAGUUCCCAAAUAAUACUUUUAUAAUUUCUUAUGCCUGUCUUUACUUUAAUCUCUUAAUCCUGUUAUAUUUAUUAGCUGAGGAUGUACAUCACCUCAGGACGGCUGUGAUAAUUGUGUUAACUCUAAAAAUUGAUUGUAAAACGUGUUUCAACAAUAUGAAAUCAGUGCACCUUGAAAAAGAAGAGAAUAACAGCGAUUUUUAGGGAACAAGGGAAGACAACCAUAAGGUCUGACUGACUGCAGGGUCGGGCAAAAAGAGCCAUAUGUUUCUUCUUGCAGAGAGUCUAUAAACAGACGUGCAAGUAGGAGAGAUAUCGCUAAGUUCUUUUCCUAGCAAGGAAUAUUAAUGUUAAUACCCUGGGAAAGGAAUGCAUUCCUGGGGAGAGGUCUAUAAAUGGCUGCUCUGGGAAUGUCUGUCUUAUGCUGUUGAGAUAAGGACUGAGAUACGCCCUGGUCUCCUGCAGUACCCAAAGGCUUACUAGGGUGGGGAAAAACUCCGCCCUGGUAAAUCUGUGGUCAGACUGGUUCUCU
Molecule: long non-coding RNA, 998 nt
Organism: Homo sapiens (human)
Lineage: Eukaryota; Metazoa; Chordata; Mammalia; Primates; Hominidae
Source: Ensembl